RNAcentral lists this ribosomal RNA (207 nucleotides) under uncultured bacterium. Its description in RNAcentral is "partial 16S ribosomal RNA". It matches the Rfam family "Bacterial small subunit ribosomal RNA", at positions 568 to 774 of the family's 1533-position model. The record is from RNAcentral.
UGCGUAGGCGGCUUUUUAAGUCGGAUGUGAAAUCCCUGAGCUUAACUUAGGAAUUGCAUUCGAUACUGGGAAGCUAGAGUAUGGGAGAGGAUGGUAGAAUUCCAGGUGUAGCGGUGAAAUGCGUAGAGAUCUGGAGGGAUACCGAUGGCGAAGGCAGCCAUCUGGCCUAAUACUGACGCUGAGGUACGAAAGCGUGGGGAGCAAACA